AUUGAACGCUGGCGGCAGGCUUAACACAUGCAAGUCGAGCGGGGGAAGGUAGCUUGCUACCGGACCUAGCGGCGGACGGGUGAGUAAUGCUUAGGAAUCUGCCUAUUAGUGGGGGACAACAUCUCGAAAGGGAUGCUAAUACCGCAUACGUCCUACGGGAGAAAGCAGGGGAUCUUCGGACCUUGCGCUAAUAGAUGAGCCUAAUUCGGAUUAGCUAGUUUGUGGGGUAAAGGCCCACCAAGGCGACGAUCUGUAGCGGGUCUGAGAGGAUGAUCCACCACACUGGGACUGAGACACGGCCCAGACUCCUACGGGAGGCAGCAGUGGGGAAUAUUGGACAAUGGGGGGAACCCUGAUCCAGCCAUGCCGCGUGUGUGAAGAAGGCCUUAUGGUUGUAAAGCACUUUAAGCGAGGAGGAGGCUACUCUAGUUAAUACCUAGGGAUAGUGGACGUUACUCGCAGAAUAAGCACCGGCUAACUCUGUGCCAGCCGCCGCGGUAA
RNAcentral lists this ribosomal RNA (501 nucleotides) under uncultured bacterium. RNAcentral describes it as "partial 16S ribosomal RNA". It matches the Rfam family "Bacterial small subunit ribosomal RNA", at positions 30 to 523 of the family's 1533-position model. The record is from RNAcentral.